CAGGGAGGGCAACGACAAAGCAGUCGAGCAAAACUCUAAAAUCUCAAAGAAGCAAGAGAACAAACCCCAAAAAGUCAAGGACAACAAUGACAAAACAGUAGAGCAAAACUCUAAAAUCUCGAAGAAGCAAGAGGACAAACCCCAGAAAGUCAAGGAGGGCAAUGACAAAGCAGUAGAGCAAAACUCUAAAAUCUCAAAGAAGCAAGAGAACAAUCUCCAGAAAGUCAAGUAA
Long non-coding RNA from Amphiprion ocellaris (clown anemonefish), 232 nucleotides. RefSeq lists it as uncharacterized. NCBI's taxonomy places the organism in Eukaryota, Metazoa, Chordata, Actinopteri, Pomacentridae. The record is from RefSeq and is a predicted model, not a curated record. The transcript has 3 exons.